This 497-nucleotide ribosomal RNA is filed under the name uncultured bacterium. RNAcentral's name for it is "partial 16S ribosomal RNA". It matches the Rfam family "Bacterial small subunit ribosomal RNA", at positions 28 to 507 of the family's 1533-position model. The record is from RNAcentral.
GACGAACGCUGGCGGCGUGCCUAACACAUGCAAGUCGAGCGAACAGACGAGGAGCUUUCUCCUCUGACGUUAGCGGCGGACGGGUGAUUAAUACGUGGAUAACCUACCUAUAAGACUGUGAUAAUAACGGCAAACCGGAGCUACUACCGCAUAAUAUGUUGAAUCUCAUGCGUCAAGAGUCUAAGACGGUCUUUGUGUCAGUUAUAGAUGGAUCCGCGCCGGAUUAGCUAGUUGGUAGGGUAACGGCUUACCAAGGCGGUGAUGCGUAGCCGACCUGAGAGGGGGGUCGACCAGCAGAGAGGUGAGGAGAGGCCGAGACGCCUACGAGGGGACGCAGUAGGGAAUCAUACGGGAUGGGGGAAGGCAGGACGGUGCAACGCCGCGGGAGGAAAGAAGGAGUUCGGAUGGUUGAACUCUGUUGUUAGGAGGGAAGAAAUGUGUAAGCAACUGUGCACGUAUUGACGGUACCUGGAGAAGAAGCCCCGGCUAACUACGUG